Molecule: ribosomal RNA, 119 nt
Filed under: Pteropus alecto (black flying fox)
Lineage: Eukaryota; Metazoa; Chordata; Mammalia; Chiroptera; Pteropodidae
Source: RNAcentral
GUUUACGGCCAUACCACCUAGAACAAGCCCGAUUCCGUCUGAUCUCGGAAGCUAGGCAGGCUCGGGCUUGGUUAGUACUUGGAUAGGAGACCACCUAGGAAGACUAGAUGCUGUAGGCA